This 603-nucleotide ribosomal RNA is filed under the name uncultured bacterium. RNAcentral's name for it is "bacterial SSU rRNA". The stretch from base 1 to 516 matches the Rfam family "Bacterial small subunit ribosomal RNA", at positions 338 to 873 of the family's 1533-position model. The record is from RNAcentral.
CCUACGGGAGGCAGCAGUGGGGAAUCUUGCGCAAUGGGCGAAAGCCUGACGCAGCCAUGCCGCGUGUAUGAUGAAGGUCUUAGGAUUGUAAAAUACUUUCACCGGUGAAGAUAAUGACUGUAGCCGGAGAAGAAGCCCCGGCUAACUUCGUGCCAGCAGCCGCGGUAAUACGAAGGGGGCUAGCGUUGCUCGGAAUUACUGGGCGUAAAGGGAGCGUAGGCGGACAUUUAAGUCAGGGGUGAAAUCCCAGAGCUCAACUCUGGAACUGCCUUUGAUACUGGGUGUCUUGAGUGUGAUAGAGGUAUGUGGAACUCCGAGUGUAGAGGUGAAAUUCGUAGAUAUUCGGAAGAACACCAGUGGCGAAGGCGACAUACUGGAUCAUUACUGACGCUGAGGCUCGAAAGCGUGGGGAGCAAACAGGAUUAGAUACCCUGGUAGUCCACGCCGUAAACGAUGAUUGCUAGUUGUCGGGAUGUUUACAUCUCGGUGACGCAGCUACGACAUAAGACAUCCGCCGUGGGAGGUACGGUCGCGAAGAAGUUAAACUUACGAAAGAAGUUAGUUAGGCGNGNGACGNGCGACGGACGACGACGAGGGAGGAGG